RNAcentral lists this small RNA (23 nucleotides) under Arabidopsis thaliana (thale cress). RNAcentral's name for it is "Ath_wt_07549". Lineage: Eukaryota; Viridiplantae; Streptophyta; Magnoliopsida; Brassicales; Brassicaceae. The record is from RNAcentral.
CCGUCCAAGGCUAAAUACGGGCG